Molecule: ribosomal RNA, 202 nt
Filed under: uncultured bacterium
Lineage: Bacteria
Description: partial 16S ribosomal RNA
Rfam family: Bacterial small subunit ribosomal RNA
Source: RNAcentral
UACGUAGGGUGCAAGCGUUGUCCGGAAUUAUUGGGCGUAAAGAGCUCGUAGGCGGUUUGUCGCGUCUGCUGUGAAAACCCGAGGCUCAACCUCGGGCCUGCAGUGGGUACGGGCAGACUAGAGUGCGGUAGGGGAGAUUGGAAUUCCUGGUGUAGCGGUGGAAUGCGCAGAUAUCAAGGAGGAACACCGCGUGAGCGGAUGC